CGCUAGUUUCGCCAUUAACCUUUUGCUUUGUUCACCGUCACUACCACGUGACAUCUGGUGGAGGUGCUUUGCGUUCACGUACCGGACGCCCCCACAAAGCCGUGACCCAAGCCUGAAUGCGGAAGACUACACCAACGUCACCAAGAACCAGCGAGGUAGCCGCAGGCUGCAAGGACUGCCCCCGGAGCACGGACUUUUGCCUGAGACGACCAGGAAGAUCGUCGCCUAGUCAACCCCAGUGGCAGCCCCAGCGUCCUCCAUCGUGCUGCAGCAGCCCAGGGAGCCUCCGACGUUCCGCGGUUCAACAUUUGAGGACCCGGAAACCUGGCUUGAGACGUAUGAGAGGGUCGCUGCAUUUAACAGCUGGAACAGCGACGACAAACUUCGACAUGUCUUUUUCGAAUUGGAAGACGCCGCUAGGAUGUAGUUCGAGAACUGAGAAGCUGCUUUAACAAUGUGAGACCUGUUCCGAAGCGGCUUCCUGCAGACAUUCACGAGUGUCGUAUGCCACAAAUAAGCCCAAGCACUACUAGAAGCCCGAGAGGAACUUUUCGCCGGAAUGGUACGGAGCCCACCGAAGACCGUCGAUUAGUUUCUUCACGAGGCCACCAGCAUCGAGAAGACACUGUAAAUGUGGAACCAGCAAUUCAACCGCCGCACAAACUCAACAAACUAUGCUGGAGAUCAGUCACUUGCCACCGACGAUCUGCGCGAGACUAUCCGAGCGGUCGUGCGGGAGGAGCUACGGAAGCUGUUGCCCUCAUCACAGCCUCAAGUGGCUUCAAUUGCCGAUGCCGUCCAUGAGGAGCUCCAACAACCACUCGAAGUAGCCCCUGAAUCACCGUAGCCUCAGCCGCAAGCGAUGACAUAUGCUGCUGUAGCCCGCCGUCACGUUCCCUCUCCGUGCCCACGGCAGGGCCCACUGACGACACAGUUCCGUCAUCCGCCACCACCCCUGCCGCCAGCAUGCCAACCCGUCACCCAACACAGCAUUCCAAGGAAGACUGACGUUUGGCGCGGCCCCGAUCACCGUCCGCUUUGCUAUCACUGCAGAGAAGCCGGGCACAUCUACCGUCGAUGCCCAUACCGAGAGAUGGGAAUCCGAGGGUUCGCUGUUAAUGCGCCGAGACCAAAGCUUGGCGAACGACCUCGCGAUAUCACCGACUACCUCGCCGCCACUCAGUGGAGCCCUCGAUGACGUCCCAUUCGCCAUUACCAGGCCGCUACCUGGCGCUGCAGCGCUGACGCAUCACCAGCCCGGGGCCGCUCUGUGAGCCCAUAUCCGGAAAACUAAAAGCAGCAACCGAUAGAGGUGCGGUUGCUGUUUGUCGAACUGACGAAGAUCCUCCACCGCCGCCAAAGACGCCUAAGACACCACCUAAUCACUAAUCACUAGUAAUCCAUAAUCACUACUACUAGCGAUUAUGGCAAGGCAUUUAUUUCCCAAAUUCUCAAGGUAUUUCUUUGGGUCAGUGAAACCAUGCACAAAUCUACUUCUACGUGUCAUCCGCAAACCAACGGCCUUACUGAGCGCUUCCACUGCACACUGUCUGACAUGAUUUUCAUAUACGUCCAUCCUGACCAUACUGACUGGGACCACAGUGACGUCUCCCUGUGUGCAUUUGCAUGAACUCCUGUUUGCAUUUCGGCAUAUCUUGUAAAUGGUGUAGUGCAUAAACAUUGCAUGAUAUACAAUUAUGACUUGUAUGGUGUAUAAACUUAAGCAUUACAUGGCAUUACUUGUUUCAUAGUAUAACAGUGAAGACAAUUGUAUGCAUCAUGUUUGUUUUAUUUUUACAUCAUUAUGUUAAACAUUUAGUAUUUGUACUAGAUUAAUUGUCAAAGUGGUAGCUCUAAAUUGUGAACUUGUGCAUGAUACCACUGAAAGACAGGUACUGGCUCUCAAUUGAUUGCAUAUAUUUUGCCGGUUUAUCGUGUCAAAGUAGCACACAUGGUUUUCUUCGCUUCUUGGUAUUGAUACUUUUUUUUAGAAAUAAAUUUGUCAAAUAUGUUGGCUUAUA
This 2021-nucleotide long non-coding RNA is filed under the name Dermacentor andersoni. RNAcentral's name for it is "uncharacterized LOC126521602". The record is from RNAcentral. Lineage: Eukaryota; Metazoa; Arthropoda; Arachnida; Ixodida; Ixodidae.